Molecule: ribosomal RNA, 488 nt
Filed under: uncultured bacterium
Lineage: Bacteria
Description: partial 16S ribosomal RNA
Rfam family: Bacterial small subunit ribosomal RNA
Source: RNAcentral
GACGAACGCUGGCGGCGUGCUUAACACAUGCAAGUCGAACGGUGAAGCUCCAGCUUGCUGGAGUGGAUCAGUGGCGAACGGGUGAGUAACACGUGAGCAACCUGCCCCUGACUCUGGAAUAAGCGCUGGAAACGGCGUCUAAUACUGGAUACGAGAAGGGUCCGCAUGGGCACUUUCUGGAAAGUUUUUCGGUUGGGGAUGGGCUCGCGGCCUAUCAGCUUGUUGGUGAGGUAAUGGCUCACCAAGGCGACGACGGGUAGCCGGCCUGAGAGGGCGACCGGCCACACGGGAACGGAGACAGGGUCCAGACUCCUACGGGAGGCAGCAGUGGGGAAUAGUGGACAACGGGCGGAAGCCUGAUCCAGCCAUCGCGCGUGGGUGAAGAAGGCCUGCGGGGGGGAAAGCACUGGUGUGGGGAAAGAAAAGCAGCAGGGUAAUACCCCGCUGUGCUGACGGUACCCAAAGAAUAAGCACCGGCUAACUUCGUG